UUUUAUAUUUGAUUAGUUGUAUAAUUUGUUGUAUAUGAUGUAUUUGUUGUUUAUGAUGGAAGAUUCUUUGUCUUAUCGUUGUCUUUAUUAAUGGUGGAGCUUGGAGGAUUAAAUUCAAUAUUACCAAGAAGAUAUUUUCUUUCAGUCCUAUCUGUUUCUGAUGCUCCUACAAUGAUCAUUGGCAUUGAUUCCUCUGUGGGCUCCCCAGGACAAAGUAUUCCUUCAAGUGUAGUGGUUAUAGUGCACAAGGCAUAGGACAUAGUGCAUAGGGUAUAGGACAAAAUACAUAGGGCUUAAGGUAUAGGACAUAGGGAAUAGUUCAUAGAACGUAGUAUAUAGGGCUAAGGCAUAGGUCAUAGGACAUAGGGAGAGCUUAGUUGACAUUAGAGGCUUAGGUCAAAGUAAGGUUAGGGUAUAGGUUUUAGAGUACUAGGACUUAUGACUUGGGUCAUAAACCUUAGAACUUAUUUAUACUGGGACUUGAGUUCAAAUUUCUUCUCGAAGUUAUUAUUGCUUUUGCUAGAUUGUUUUGCUGUUGUUUUAUUUUUAAAAUUACUUACACGUUUUUGCUCUAUAAAUAUUUCUGUCAAAAUCUAUGGAUCAAAUAUUUUACAGAUUUCAUCGAAAUGGAAAAUCAUGUUUCAAGAAGAGGAUUUGAUGCACAAACAAAACAAAAACUUUAAGGGUCUUAAAUUGUGGGUGGUUGAUGCUUGAUGCUUGAUUCUUAUUAUUCUGACAUUACAGGCAUUCGUUUGUCGAAGCAAUUAUGGUUUUUAACAUAUGCUACUUAUGUUUAACAGUAAUAGCUAUACUCAAGUAGAAACACAAGUUUUACAAGCUUCCAAGUUGGAGAUCGGAGAUGGGAGAAAUUCAAACCAAGAAACGGGAGAUAGAGCUUAUGUCUUCUGCCUGAUGUGCUGCACAAGGAUUUCGAGAAGAGGAUUUGAUGCACAAACAAAACCUAAACUUUAAGUAAUAGCUAUACUCAAGUAGAAACACAAGUUUUACAAGCUUCCAAGUUGGAGAUCGAAGAUGGGAGAAAUUCUAACCAAGAAACGGGAGAUAGAACUUAUGUCCUCUGCCUGAUGUGCUGCACAAGGAUUUCGAGAAGAGGAUUUGAUGCACAAACAGAACCAAAACUUUAAGGCAUUUUUUUGUCGAAGCAAUUAUGGUUCUGAACAUAUGCUCCGAAUGUUUAACAGUAAUGGCUAUAAUCAAGUAGAAACACAAGUUUUACAAGCUUCCAAGUUGGAGAUCGGAGAGGGGAGUACUUCAAACCAAGAAACGGGAGAUAGAGCUUAUGUCUUCUGCCUGAUGUGCUACACAAGGAUUUGUAGGAGAUCUUUUCAAGUGCAGUGAAAUUAAAACAAUUAUCUUUGCAAUAAAUAUGUUCCACCUAAUCUCAGAGUGUGCCUCGUGGAUGCUAAAGUUUCUUGGAUUCUGCAAUUCGUUGUAUUUCUCUUUCUUGACAGAAAGAAUUGGUGAGUUAUUUUAUUUAUCUUUUGCAUAAAAUAAAAAUUUCAAAUUCAUUAUUGUUAAAAAUUAACUAAACUUGAUUGGGUUCGUUAAAGAAUAAGGUACUUACCGAAAUAGGGACUAUUGUCGAGUGUUGCCUCUACCAUUAACUAUCAACGAUCAAUAUUUAUCAAAUGUUUGGAUGAAGAUCAAUGUUAAGUUUGAUGGAUUGAAUUCAAUAUUACCAGGAGAAGGUUUUCUUUCCGUCCAAUUUGUUUCUGAUGCUCCUUCCCUGAUCAUUGGCAUUGAUGCGCCUAUGAGCUCCCCAAGACAAACUAUUCCAUCAAGUCUAGUAGUCAUAGGGAAUAGGGCAUAGGGCGGGGGGCAGAGGGGAAAGGGUAUAGGGCACAGUGCAGAGAGGAUAGGAAAUAGUACAUUGGGCAUAAGGCAGAGGACAUAGGAGGGCUUAGUGAACGUUAAAGGCUUUGGUCAAAGUAAGGUUAGGGUAUAGGAGUACUAGGACUUAUGACUUAGGUCAUAAAGCUUAGGAAAUAGUUAUAGUGGGACUUGAGUUCAUAUUUCUUCUCGAAGUUAUUUUUGCUUUUGCUAGAUGGUUUUGUUAUUGUUGAUGUUUUAUUUUUAAAUUUUGCUUACAUGCUUUUGCUCUAUAAAUAUUUUUGUCAAAAUUAUGAAUCAAUUAUUUUACAAAUUUCAUGGAAAAUCAUGUUUCAAGAAGAGGAUUUGAUGCACAAUGUCAGUGAGUGUUGGAUGUUGAACUGACUGGAGAUAUUAAACCAGUGUCAAACACAUGACCUAUUACAAAUUUACGUCCAAUGUUCAUGGGAGGCCUAGGUGUUUAUGCAUGUGCGUGCAUUUAAUGCCCUGUAUUAUUAGGCCAUUUACAUUUGAAUUUUUAUGCGGCUAACAAUUUUUCUGAAUGCCCGUAUUUUCUCUGAUCUUAUAAUAUUGGGAUCUUAUUCCAGACUUAUUGAGAAGUCCUCCUGUUCAGCAUAUGAUGUUGUUCUCAGACACAUUUUCAAAAUCCUGGAUCGUCGUCAGGAGGCACUGAUGUUAUGGAUGCUGAUAACUCUUCAGGAUACAAUUAUUUCAUAGAUCUUCCGAAGGAACUUUUUCAUAUGCUUUCUUGUAAUGGACCUUAUCUAUACCGUGAUACUGUACUUCUUGCUGUUUUUUCAUGUUAACUUGGUCCUUCUUGCUAUUUUUUUUUUUAAUGCUGAUAGGACUUCUCCUCUUCCAUUUUCUCUUAAAAUAUGAGUAGGUUUGUAGGGUCUUGAGAGGUUAUUACCUUUCUGCUCUUGAGCUUGUAAGUCAUGGCAAUGGUGCCUUGAAUCCUCAAUUACAUGUUAAGGAGGCACGGCUAAGGGUGGAGGAUGCUUUAGGAGCAUGUGUACUUCCCUCUCUGCAGUUAAUUCCCGCCAAUCCUGCUGUUGGCCAAGAGAUAUGGGAACUAAUGAGUCCUCUUCCUUAUGAAUGUUGCAAGCUUGAUUCUUUGUUAUUCUCAUUUUCUUUACUCUUUCUGUACAGUUGGACACUAGACGUAUUUUGAAAAGGCUGGCAAAGGAAAAUUUGAAGCAGCUGGGUCGGAUGGUUGCAAAAUUAGCUCAUGCCAACCCAAUGACUGUCCUGCAAACAAUUGUUCAUCAGUUAACUGUGAACCACAGUUUCUCCCUAACUGAGAAUUUCACCCCCAAAUUGAAAACCCUUGAAGCUAGGGUUCGAGAGGAUUGAGAGAAAUUGGAAGAGAGUUCCAUGGUUCCUUCGCGACGAUGGACUAGGAGGCUCGAUUCAAUGGACCAGAGGCUGCCUACAAAGAUUGAAGCUACAAAAGGGGAUGAUUGAGGGGCGCGAACAAAACCCUUUAUUAAAGCUGGUGCGAAGUCACUCGAAGAGGAGCGCGAAGCAUGUCGAAGGCUCGCCGCCGUCGAAGGUUCACUAUCGAAGGCUUUGCCACACUCGCCGUAACACUUCUCCUUUAGCUGGAACUGUGCAACCCAAAGAGCUGCAAGGAAAGGGGAGAUGGGAGAUGCUGGGAUGAAAGCUGAAUUUUGUGAGGCAUAUAUAGGUAGCCAUAACCGUGAGUGGUGAAGGGGAAGAUAAAGGUUAUUGGAGGCGGUGGUAGCAAGUGAUAAUAGAUAUUGAACACUAAUAAUAUGCUUUUCUUGCCAAUAGAUUCCUCGUCUUGUCUUUCCUUGAAAUAUUACUUUGCUUCUGCGAAAGAACUGAUGCGGUUGAAUGGCACCACAAAAUCCUUUGUAGCUAACCAUCUGUCAAUAACACAGAUGCUGAGGGUAGGCUUACUCUUGUAGAUGCUCUGGUGUAUGCUUGUAACCAGGGUGCUGAGUACUGUAAAGUUCGUUGGCUGGUCCAGUUUGGAAUGAAAAGCAGUGUUGUGCAACAAGAUUACUGCAUGCAUUAUAAGUAAACUAAAAAUUAGUUUAUUGAACUGCACUGUACUAUGAGUGGACUAAAAACCAGUGCAGUUCAGUUCAUCCGAACUACUUUUAGUUCAGUUUAGUUUAGGAAAAUUGUUUUAUAGUUAACUGCAAAUUUUUAUAGUACAGUGCAGUGCAGUAUACUUUGCCCACCUGGUUGCAUGGGUUGUAUUGAUGAAGAUGUUUUGUGAGAGUGCAUGUAAAAGAAAUAACGGUAACAAAAACGAAAGGCUAAUGUUUUAUUUGGGAGAGAGCUGAUUAUAAAGAA
Vigna angularis (adzuki bean) is the source of this 4176-nucleotide long non-coding RNA. RefSeq lists it as uncharacterized. The transcript has 20 exons. The record is from RefSeq and is a predicted model, not a curated record. NCBI's taxonomy places the organism in Eukaryota, Viridiplantae, Streptophyta, Magnoliopsida, Fabales, Fabaceae.